AUUUAUAUAGUUUAACUUAAAACAAUUCAUUUUCAAUGAAUAAAUGAAUUCAUAUUCUAUAAAUA
RNAcentral lists this transfer RNA (65 nucleotides) under Chorosoma macilentum. Its description in RNAcentral is "tRNA-Glu". It matches the Rfam family "tRNA". Rfam says of the family: Transfer RNA (tRNA) molecules are approximately 80 nucleotides in length. Their secondary structure includes four short double-helical elements and three loops (D, anti-codon, and T loops). Lineage: Eukaryota; Metazoa; Arthropoda; Insecta; Hemiptera; Rhopalidae. RNAcentral also lists the same sequence under 1 other name. The record is from RNAcentral.